This 465-nucleotide ribosomal RNA is filed under the name Vreelandella stevensii. RNAcentral's name for it is "partial 16S ribosomal RNA". It matches the Rfam family "Bacterial small subunit ribosomal RNA", at positions 338 to 795 of the family's 1533-position model. Lineage: Bacteria; Pseudomonadati; Pseudomonadota; Gammaproteobacteria; Oceanospirillales; Halomonadaceae. The record is from RNAcentral.
CCUACGGGUGGCAGCAGUGGGGAAUAUUGGACAAUGGGCGAAAGCCUGAUCCAGCCAUGCCGCGUGUGUGAAGAAGGCCUUCGGGUUGUAAAGCACCUUCAGUGGGGAAGAAAGCCCUGGGGCUAAUACCCUCGAGGAAGGACAUCACCCACAGAAGAAGCACCGGCUAACUCCGUGCCAGCAGCCGCGGUAAUACGGAGGGUGCGAGCGUUAAUCGGAAUUACUGGGCGUAAAGCGCGCGUAGGCGGUCUGAUAAGCCGGUUGUGAAAGCCCCGGGCUCAACCUGGGAACGGCAUCCGGAACUGUCAGGCUAGAGUGCAGGAGAGGAAGGUAGAAUUCCCGGUGUAGCGGUGAAAUGCGUAGAGAUCGGGAGGAAUACCAGUGGCGAAGGCGGCCUUCUGGACUGACACUGACGCUGAGGUGCGAAAGCGUGGGUAGCAAACAGGAUUAGAUACCCUAGUAGUC